RNAcentral lists this ribosomal RNA (1550 nucleotides) under Klebsiella pneumoniae. Its description in RNAcentral is "bacterial SSU rRNA". It matches the Rfam family "Bacterial small subunit ribosomal RNA". Lineage: Bacteria; Pseudomonadati; Pseudomonadota; Gammaproteobacteria; Enterobacterales; Enterobacteriaceae. The record is from RNAcentral.
AAAUUGAAGAGUUUGAUCAUGGCUCAGAUUGAACGCUGGCGGCAGGCCUAACACAUGCAAGUCGAGCGGUAGCACAGAGAGCUUGCUCUCGGGUGACGAGCGGCGGACGGGUGAGUAAUGUCUGGGAAACUGCCUGAUGGAGGGGGGAUAACUACUGGAAACGGUAGCUAAUACCGCAUAACGUCGCAAGACCAAAGUGGGGGACCUUCGGGCCUCAUGCCAUCAGAUGUGCCCAGAUGGGAUUAGCUAGUAGGUGGGGUAACGGCUCACCUAGGCGACGAUCCCUAGCUGGUCUGAGAGGAUGACCAGCCACACUGGAACUGAGACACGGUCCAGACUCCUACGGGAGGCAGCAGUGGGGAAUAUUGCACAAUGGGCGCAAGCCUGAUGCAGCCAUGCCGCGUGUGUGAAGAAGGCCUUCGGGUUGUAAAGCACUUUCAGCGGGGAGGAAGGCGUUAAGGUUAAUAACCUUGGCGAUUGACGUUACCCGCAGAAGAAGCACCGGCUAACUCCGUGCCAGCAGCCGCGGUAAUACGGAGGGUGCAAGCGUUAAUCGGAAUUACUGGGCGUAAAGCGCACGCAGGCGGUCUGUCAAGUCGGAUGUGAAAUCCCCGGGCUCAACCUGGGAACUGCAUUCGAAACUGGCAGGCUAGAGUCUUGUAGAGGGGGGUAGAAUUCCAGGUGUAGCGGUGAAAUGCGUAGAGAUCUGGAGGAAUACCGGUGGCGAAGGCGGCCCCCUGGACAAAGACUGACGCUCAGGUGCGAAAGCGUGGGGAGCAAACAGGAUUAGAUACCCUGGUAGUCCACGCCGUAAACGAUGUCGAUUUGGAGGUUGUGCCCUUGAGGCGUGGCUUCCGGAGCUAACGCGUUAAAUCGACCGCCUGGGGAGUACGGCCGCAAGGUUAAAACUCAAAUGAAUUGACGGGGGCCCGCACAAGCGGUGGAGCAUGUGGUUUAAUUCGAUGCAACGCGAAGAACCUUACCUGGUCUUGACAUCCACAGAACUUUCCAGAGAUGGAUUGGUGCCUUCGGGAACUGUGAGACAGGUGCUGCAUGGCUGUCGUCAGCUCGUGUUGUGAAAUGUUGGGUUAAGUCCCGCAACGAGCGCAACCCUUAUCCUUUGUUGCCAGCGGUCCGGCCGGGAACUCAAAGGAGACUGCCAGUGAUAAACUGGAGGAAGGUGGGGAUGACGUCAAGUCAUCAUGGCCCUUACGACCAGGGCUACACACGUGCUACAAUGGCAUAUACAAAGAGAAGCGACCUCGCGAGAGCAAGCGGACCUCAUAAAGUAUGUCGUAGUCCGGAUUGAGUCUGCAACUCGACUCCAUGAAGUCGGAAUCGCUAGUAAUCGUAGAUCAGAAUGCUACGGUGAAUACGUUCCCGGGCCUUGUACACACCGCCCGUCACACCAUGGGAGUGGGUUGCAAAAGAAGUAGGUAGCUUAACCUUCGGGAGGGCGCUUACCACUUUGUGAUUCAUGACUGGGGUGAAGUCGUAACAAGGUAACCGUAGGGGAACCUGCGGUUGGAUCACCUCCUUACCUUAAAGAA